This 366-nucleotide long non-coding RNA is filed under the name Capsella rubella. RNAcentral's name for it is "long non-coding RNA (CRUB_LNC001992)". The record is from RNAcentral. Lineage: Eukaryota; Viridiplantae; Streptophyta; Magnoliopsida; Brassicales; Brassicaceae.
GAGAAGAAGAUGAAGAGUGGCUUUUACUUCUUUGAUUUUCUUGGAGUUGGAGCUUCUUGAUUUAAUUAGCUAGUUUGCAGAACUAGGGCUCAAUGAUGAGGGUGAACUGUGAUAUAAAAAUAUGGCUUUAGUUUCUUCUAUAUAUUUUCCUGGUUAAUUUUAGGCAUGUUUGUUUAACAUCUUAAAUUUGGGAUUUGGAAGAAAUAAGCCGGGGUAUGAGGGAAAACAUAAAAACUAAAAAUAAUAAUAACUUAAUAGUAAUUUCCUAAAAGUCAAGAAAUAAAAGUUGAAUAUAAAAUUAAUUAUCUCUUUCCAGUAUAAUUAGAAUAUGUUUACACAAAAAUUGCAUCUUUUAAUAUAAAAAAC